RNAcentral lists this long non-coding RNA (900 nucleotides) under Marmota monax (woodchuck). The record is from RNAcentral. Lineage: Eukaryota; Metazoa; Chordata; Mammalia; Rodentia; Sciuridae.
AGUGUCCUAGAUUUCACCUUUUUUGAGAUCUGGUUCUAUAUCACAAAGACAAAAGACCUUGGCGGGGGGGGGGGUGGAGAGAGAGAGAGAGAGGAGAGAGAUGGAGAGACCCAGCUGAUCUGCCAGAACCCAGGCCCCAGACACCUGCUGCUGAUGCAGCCACUUGGACAAGCCAGGUUGGACCUGCAGGGCCAGUCCAGAAGGUCAUUACGAAUCACAAAGCCAUUGUUGGUUUGAGGCCCUGGGUUUUGAGAUCCUUGGAGACACAGCAAUAAAUAAUCACGACAGUGACAACACAAUGAGAUAAUGUUUCAGAUUUUCCUUUUAUUCUGAUAAACAAAAAUGUUAAACUUCCUGAUAAAUAUCCUAGGCCCUGUAAAUUCAGAAAAAUGCCUACAAUUUUUAUCUAUCUGUGGUUCUUCCUUCCAUUUAUUUAGAAUUUAUAGACAGAACUGGUAAAACAGCCAUUCUAACACUGCAGGAUGAUAGAAAACAAGAGUCAGAGUUUUCUUCCACACCUGGGUCCCCAAUCCAUUUCCCGAGAGGUCAAUGCUAUGUGCAUCUCUUUUUGGAUCCUUUGAACAAAGAUAAAUCACACCUACACUUGCAGAUCUCUAUAUAUCUAUAUCAACAUCUAUGUCUAUCUUCUUUAUUGGCAGCAACAGGAUUAUGUAGUUUUGCACUGUUUUUUUCCCCAUUUAUGAUUGAUCUCAUACACAUUUCUGUUACCUGGGAACCUAUUUUGCAGUGUCUUACUGUAAUGAUGGGUCUGGGAUGGGCAGUUUUGCUGGUUCCAGUCUUGAAUAUUCACAUUAGCACAUCCUGAUAUACUUGUGCUUACAUAUCCACAGACGUCGCUUACAUAUUCCGAAUCGAAGGGCAUAUUUAUUUUACACUGUG